Molecule: ribosomal RNA, 332 nt
Filed under: Balistes capriscus (grey triggerfish)
Lineage: Eukaryota; Metazoa; Chordata; Actinopteri; Tetraodontiformes; Balistidae
Description: partial 12S ribosomal RNA
Rfam family: Bacterial small subunit ribosomal RNA
Source: RNAcentral
AAACAUCGAUGGCCACUUACUUAAACCAUCCGCCAGGGAACUACGAGCAUUAGCUUAAAACCCAAAGGACUUGGCGGUGCUUUAGAUCCACCUAGAGGAGCCUGUUCUAGAACCGAUAACCCCCGUUAAACCUCACCUUUCCUUGUUCAACCCGCCUAUAUACCACCGUCGUCAGCUUAUCCUGUGAAGGCCUUUUAAUAAGCAAAAUUGGCAAAGCCUAAAACGUCAGGUCGAGGUGUAGCGUACGGAAAGGGAAGCAAUGGGCUACAUUACCUGCCCCAGGUAACCACGGACGAUUUAUUGAAAAAUAAAUCCAAAGGAGGAUUUAGUAG